AGCUGCAAUUUGGUUGGGGUGACUUCGAGCAGCGCGCGGUUGGAGGGACGUCGCCUUGGGCCACUGGCGGCUCGAGGCGACAACCCGCCCCCCCCGCCCCCCGCGAAGCCUUGACACUAGGCCCAAUGGAGGGGCGCGCGGGAGGUGGGUGGGGUCGGGAGACCGGGUAAGCCGCCGGCGGGUCGAGGAGGGGUGCGUGUCCCUUGUGGCAACUAGGAAACCGAGAACGAAGGCCAACGCUUCCUGGGCACGGGAGCUCGAAAGGGCAUCUGGUUUCACUGCUGUUCUUUGGAAAACUCACAGUGCAAUGUGCUUCGUGACUGAACAGGCAUCUUGUGAUCCUGGGAAUGUCGAUUCAUUCAUUUGGCGAGUGUUUCUAUGGUCUUGGAGGGCCUUCUGUAUGCCAGACACCGUGCUAGGCGUUGGCGCUGCAGUCCUGACACACAUACACCUGAUUUCUGCCUUCACAGAACUUACAGUCUGAAGAGGGAAAGCGAGAAAACAAACAGUUUAAUUUUCAGGUUCCCAGCCAGAGAAUCUAGGAGAGAAGAAGGAAAACAUUUUUUCUUCUACUUUAGAAUCAGCAAUUUUCCAGGGAGACAUCAAGUUGAGAGACAUCAUUUUUGGAGUCACCAUCGUGUGCAUGGGACUUAAAGCCGUGAGGAUGAGAUCACCUAAGAAUGGUUGCUAUAGGAGGCUUUAGCUCCAUACCACAUACACCUGUGUGAGUAUCCUCAUGACCUGACAGCUAGUAUCCUCCAGAACAAGUGAUCCACGGCAGAAGUCAGAAGUCUCAAUGUGAUUCAGCCUUAGAAGCUCCAUCACCCUCCAUCACUCCUGCCACAUGAACAUCAAGAGGCCUUUCCCACACUCUUCCCUCUGCCAUCUGACUCAGGAGACUGACCUGAGUGGACCAGACAGUGCUGAGCUGAUGGGCCCCAACAAAGAGGAAGGACAAGGAAACAAGAGAAUGAACUCCCCACCGGCUCCCUUAAAGCUGGCUGCACCUGACCUCCGGAGAUCACAGCCCCUCUCAAAGUGACCCUCUCCACAAAACAUUUUUGAAUCACCUUCUCUGGGUUUUGUUAACAAUAAUGCUUCCCUGUGUCCCUUCAGCCUACAGAGAGCAGCCCCAGGAUACUGCCCUGUCCUGUUUGCUUUUCUCCUCUUCUCCCCUUCCCACAUUUCUGAAAAUGGCCCAUUUAAUCAACCUAUUGGGACUAUUUUCAUUUGAGUGUGCCAUCUGUUUCCUGCUGGAUGUCUGACUCAUUCUGUAUACCCUCAACAAACACAACCCACACCAUCACAAAAUGGGAGUUGUAAGUAUUUGUUUUGUUGAUUCUGAUGGUUAAAUGGUCCAGAAAAUAUUGGCAUGGCUCACCUCUGGUACUUAACACUGCAUUGCUCAGAUACUUCACAAUCCCUGUCAGAAGGAGAAAGAAACUUCACUAGUGAACUUUGGUAGUAAUGUUCAUCUUCAAUGGCUUAUGAACUAAAAGAGUUAUAGUACUCUUUCCUUUAAAGUUCAGAUUUUUAUCCAUGACAGCUCUCAUGUUAGGUAAAUCUGUGCCAGAGCUACUUUAUUUUAAUUUGGGAGAGAGAGAAUCUCAAGCAGACUCCUGAUGAUGAGCACAGAGCCCGACUCAGGUCCCUGUUUCAUGACCCUGAGAUCAUGACCUGCGCCAAAACCAAGGGUCUGACACUUAACUGACUGAGCCACCCAGUUGCCCCACAGAGCUAUUUUAAUAAUAGCAUGAAUCAGAGCACAUGUCUUGCUCGAUCAGUAAAGCAAGCAACUUUUUUUUUUUAAGAGUUUAUUUAUUUAUUUAUAAAAGACACAGACAGAGAGGCAGAGAUACAGGCAGAGGGAGAAGCAGGCUCCAUGCAGGGAGCCCGAUGUGGGACUCAAUCCUGGGACUCCAGGAUCACACUCUGGGCCAAAGGCAGGUGCUAAACCGCUGAGCCACCCAGGUGUCCCAAGCAGGCAACUUUUGAUCUUGGACUUAUAAGUUCAAGCAGUGGAUGUAGAGACUACUUAAAAAUUAAAUCUUUAAAAAAUUUUUCUAUUAAGAAAAUAAUAAUAGCAUGAACAGAUGAUAUAAGAGCUAGUUGUAUAUUUUCCCUUGGUGGGUGUUAUUAACUCACAGGCUAUGGAUGAAAUAAGAACUCUGGUAAUUAAAACAUGUUUAAAAUAGCCAACAUUUGGGGAUGCCUCGGUAGCUCAGUGGUUGAGUGUCUGCCCUCAGCUCAGGGCAUGAUCCCAGGGUUCAGGAUCAGGUCCCACAUUGGCUCCUUGUCGGGAGCCUGCUUCUUUCUCCCUCUUUCUGUGUCUCUGCCUCUCUCUGUCUCUCAUGAAUAAUACUAAUAAUAAAAAUAGCCAACUUUUCUGAGCACUCAAGUUACUCCCUACCUAUAACACAAGCACAUGUAAAAACUGAAAUAAUUCCUCCAAGCCUUUGGGCACAUCAUUUGGCAAGUAACUUUCAGGCUGUGCUUAGUCUAAGUUUUCAUUUCCUACAGAAUAAGUGUUUUGAGCAUUAAGGAGAUAAAUGGAGGAGGUAAAUGGGUUGAGGCAGAAUUAUUAGGUUAAUUAUUUCCUUGUAGAAGGAAUGCUUCAAACUUGAUAAAAGGAAAUAGGUGAAGAUGACCAAGGGUUGACUCAAACCACUAUAUCAUUUUCUUGAUAGGCUUCUCCUUCUGACUUUCAGUUGGACAUGUUUUGCUCUUACAGAGGCGAGGGUGUGGAUCAGGAAGUAAAAAAAAAAAAAAAAAAGACAUGUAGGGCUGACUCAAGGCCAAGAAAAACUUGGGCUUUCUCACUGCAAAUUGAGCAAUCCUCUCCGUGCUCCUCACUCUCCUGACUGGCCUCAUCCAUUCCCUGUCCACAGUUUUUGAAUGCUGGUGAAGUCCAGAGCCAGCAGCCAAGAAGAAUUCUUGAGCCAUCUUUGGUGCAAAAUGUUGGUUUUAUUAAAGCUGGGAUAGGACCCGAGGUAGGGGGGGCAGGAAGAGCUGCUGCCCCAGGGUUGUGAUGGGUGGCUGACUGUAUACUUGGGAGUUGGAAAAGGGGGGUUUUCAAAAGAACUUUCAUAUGCUAAAGAAGGCGUACAGCCAUUGUCAAGUUAAGGCUGUUUUUGCUUCUAGCAAGGCAUUAACAUUAAGACAGUUGGGAGUUUCCUACUGGAAGUUAGGUUAUUGACAAGAAUGCUUUUUUUCUCUUAAAUCAAUAAAACAUUUGUCAAGUGAGCAGGUUAACCAUUUCUUUUUCCUCCCCUCCCGUUUUUCCUCCCCCUCCUCCCUCCAGGGAGCUUUUAGGAUCUCAUUAACUAGAUAAGUCCUUCUAUUAUAUGAUCUCAUAGCAACAUAUACCUUUCCUUAUAAGCACUUACUAUAUUUUUGCAUUUAUUUUGACGAUCAUAUUAUUAAUGUCUCUCUCUGUCUCUCAAGUCUAUGAGGGCAGGAUGGGACUGAUGGGAUCUUUUCCCCCUCUUAACGUUAGAUCCUCUGGCCUCUAGCAUCUGAUACUGAGUAAGUACUCAAUAAACAUAAGCUGAAUGAAUGGAAAUGAAUUUCAUCAUAGUCUUCCAGGAGCUCCAAGGUAAAUGGGGCUUUACCAUGGUCUACACUUUCUUUCCCCUUGACAGAGAGCAGCAUUUGCGGAAGCAAGUUAGAAUGGGUGUUUCCCAAAGAAGCUCUACUUACCAUAGACACCCUAUUAAGUUUCUCCAGGAUGUUGAUGGUUAUAGCCUUCUUUACGUGUAGGUCAUCCCUAAGAGGACUAUUUCUACUUGACCUAUGGUUCCAAAACCAUGUCCCUUGAUAAAGCCAAACUUAAACAUAUGAAUAACACUCCCUUAAAAAACCUUUGCAGAAGAAUUUCGCUAUUAAGGUUCUCUCUUGACUAGGAGAUGUCAGAGAAGUCGGUUCCUGGCACCUUUGAUUUUCUUCUCAAACCUGGUCCUGCUUUGUAGCAUUUUAACUUGCUCCUUCUUUAGAGUGCUACACAAGGGUAAAAUAAUAAUAAUAAUAAUAAUAAUAAUAAUAAUAAUAAUAAUUCACAUCUAUUGAAUGUUGUUGUUUGCUAUCACCAGGCAUCAUCCUAGUCAUUCCCUAUACCACUGACCUUUGGACAACACAGGUUUAAACUGUGCAGGUCCACUUAUAUGUGGAUUUUUUUUUUAAACAAAUGCAGUACAGUACCGUAAAUGUGUUUUCCUUAUGAUUUUUCUUAUAUAUCAUUUUCUUCUCUCUAGCUUAUCCUAUUUUAAGACUACAGUAUAUAAAACAUAUAGCAUAUAAAUAAGUGUUAUUCAACUAUGUCUUCAGUAAGGCUUCCAGUCAACAGUAGGCUAUUAGUAGGGAGUCAAAAGUUUUACAUGGAUUUCAACUAUGCUGGAAGUCAGUGUGUGGUUUGUAUGCAGGGGUGCAAGAGCACCUGGUUCUGGGGGUCCCAAACAGACCAGGUUUGGCUUCUCACCACUGACAAAACCAAAGGUGGAGGGACAGGAGUGGUGCAACAAGAAAUGAAUUUAGUUCAGCAAGACCAAUAGUGGAAGAGAGGGGUCUAGUAUCUCAAAGACUGUCUUCAAAGUGCCACAGAUACUUCCAGGUUUAUAAAAGGAAAAUGUGGGGCAAAGGUGAGUAGGUAUGUACAGGUAGGCAGCAAAGAUUCAAACUGAUCAUUGUCUUGGAGUCGAUCAUGUGUGGCGUCUUGCAGGCUCUAGGCUGUCCCUACUGCUUGAGGGGAUAGAUUCAGUUCCCAUCAGGGGAUGCUUCGCUCUCAGGGUCUUCUGACCCAAGAGACUAGCUGGAAAGAACUCAGCUAGAAAGUUUGAGGUCAAAUGGAGCAGCUGGAGCCCUCUUUCAAGUGCCCCUAAUUCCUGCAUAUUCUGGGUUCAACUACAUAUUAUUUCAUUGACUCUUAAUGAGAGAAAAGAAGUCCUCUCAGGUAAAUGCUAUUAUUGAUGUAGUUUUCAUAAUAGUUUGGUGAGGUUGGUGGGGUAUAGGGCCAAUGGCCAAGAAUUCUUGAGACAUCUUUGGAGCAAAAUGGUGGUUUUAUUAAAGCACAGGACAGGACCUGGGAGGCAGGAAGAGCUACUGCCCCAGGAUUAUGAGGGGCAACUGAUUAUAUACUUUGGGGUUUAGGGAAGCAGAGAUAAGAUAAGUUCCAAAAGGAUUUUCACAUGCUAAAGAAGACUCACAGGAUACUGGAGGCCUUGCUAUUGUCAAACCAAGGUUGUUUUUCUCUCUAGCAAGGCAUUAAUAUUAAGAUAGUUGGGAGCUUCCUAGAGAAACAUUAUACUCUGCCUGUCUCAAGUAUUUGUCAAUGGCCUGCCGGUUAUAAAAACAUUUAACUUUAUCUACAUUUCCUUCUGCCUUUUUUUCCCAUACCAUUAUUAUCCUCAUUUUAUAGCUGACAAUAUAGCAGGUGAGAGACAAUAAAUUUACUUAAUAUUAAAGGGGCAGUGGAGCCACAUUUGGAACCCGGGUAGUCUGAUGCCCCAGCCCACACCUUCAUGUGCUGAACCACAGUGCCUCAGCACAGCUAGUGACCCUAACCUGUUAGCUUCUCAUCCAAUUGGGUAAGCCACAAAGACUACUCAAAUUGUCCUCAGAGGGAUGCCUGGGUGGCUCAGUGGUUGAAUGUCUGCUUUUGGCUCUCAGGGUAAGAUCCCGGGAUCCUGGGAUCGAGUCCUGUAUCGGGCUCCCUGAGAGGAGCCUGCUUCUCCCUCUGCCUGUGUCUGCCUCUCUCUCUCUCUGUCUCUCAUGAAUAAAUAAAUAGAAUCUUUAAAAAAAUAAAAUUAAAAAAAAAGUAAUCAAAAGUAUUUUAUCUUUAUGAAAAAUAUAUUCAUUGCAUACAAUUUCUCAGAUUCCAUAUAAACCCCCAAAUAACUAUUAUAUAGAUGAUAUCUAAAGAGCCUGUACUAAAAAUAAAAAUGAAUAAAGAGCCAGUACUAUAUGUUAAUUGCUGAGUUAACAAAAUUACAUUACUAUUCCAAUUUUACAGAUGGGGAAAUUUCACCAGGUUGUGAAAAGACUUUCUUAAGCUCCUUAGCUGUUAUGUGAGAGCCUAGAUUACAUUCAGGCCUAUUCACUUAUAAAGACAGCAAUCUCUACAACUGACAGCAUUGUUUUAUUUUUUUAAAGAUUUGUUUAUUUAUUUUUAGCAAGAGAGAGUGCAGUGGGGAGGAGCCGAGGGAGAGGGAAAGAGAGUCUUAAGCAGACUCCCUGCUGCAUGUGGAGCCCUACUCCACUGGAUCCCCUGGACAGGGAGCAAGACCUAAGUGGAAAUCAAGAGUCCAUCCCUUAGGCAAGUGCACCACCUAGGUGCCCCGACUAUAAUCUGGUAUAGCUGUACCAAAAGACAGCAGUGUCUGCCCUACCAUUAGAUUUUUAGGUGAUUUCCAACCUUUUAAUAUUAGAAAUGGCAGUUUGGAUAUGCCUGGCUGACUCAGUCAAUAGAGCGUGAGACUUGAUGUCGGGGUUGUAAGUGCUUGUCCUACAUUGGGUGUAGAGAUUACUUAAAAAUAUAUAAUCUUAAAAAAAAAAGAAAUGGCAAUUUAAUGAACAUUACAGUUAAUUCUUUUCUUUGAAGUAAAAAUAGCAUUAUCCUUCCUCUAGAGUACAUAAGUAAUAUACGUUUACUAUAAAAAAUCAAGGAACACAUGAAAUUUUAAGGGAAGUAUCAUCUGAAAUUCUAUCAUCUUGUAAUAGCCAUUGUUAACAUUUUGCUGAUUACAAUUUUGUGUCUUUUUUAUGUAUACCAUGUACAAUUUUACAUAAGUAGAAUCUUAUGUCUCUCCAUGUUUUUUUCAUUCCCUAACUCUCAACAAAUGUAAUACAUAGAAGUAGAUAGGGGGUUCAUUAUUUAUUUUACAAAAAUGGGAUUGUUUAUUUUGUAAAAACAGAAAAAAGAAAUCACUUCUCUCCAAUGUGCUCUUUUAGCUUGAAAAUAAAUCAUGAAAAUUC
Canis lupus familiaris (dog) is the source of this 6966-nucleotide RNA transcript. RefSeq lists it as uncharacterized. Lineage: Eukaryota; Metazoa; Chordata; Mammalia; Carnivora; Canidae. The record is from RefSeq and is a predicted model, not a curated record. The transcript is spliced from 5 exons.